CCUUGGAGUGGGGAAUAACGGCUGGAAACAGCCGCUAAUACCGCAUGAUGCAUCUGAGUCGCAUGGUUUGGAUGCCAAAGAUUUAUCGCUCUGAGAUGAGCUCGCGUCUGAUUAGCUAGUUGGCGGGGUAACGGCCCACCAAGGCGACGAUCAGUAGCCGGACUGAGAGGUUGGCCGGCCACAUUGGGACUGAGACACGGCCCAGACUCCUACGGAAGGCAGCAG
Molecule: ribosomal RNA, 225 nt
Filed under: uncultured bacterium
Lineage: Bacteria
Description: partial 16S ribosomal RNA
Rfam family: Bacterial small subunit ribosomal RNA
Source: RNAcentral